RNAcentral lists this ribosomal RNA (482 nucleotides) under uncultured bacterium. Its description in RNAcentral is "partial 16S ribosomal RNA". It matches the Rfam family "Bacterial small subunit ribosomal RNA", at positions 30 to 507 of the family's 1533-position model. The record is from RNAcentral.
AUUGAACGCUGGCGGCAUGCUUUACACAUGCAAGUCGAACGGUAACAGGCCGCAAGGUGCUGACGAGUGGCGAACGGGUGAGUAAUGCAUCGGAACGUGCCCAGUCGUGGGGGAUAACUACUCGAAAGAGUAGCUAAUACCGCAUACGAUCUAUGGAUGAAAGCGGGGGACCGUAAGGCCUCGCGCGAUUGGAGCGGCCGAUGUCAGAUUAGGUAGUUGGUGGGGUAAAGGCUCACCAAGCCAACGAUCUGUAACUGGUCUGAGAGGACGACCAUCCACCCUGGGAGUGAGACACGGCCCAGACUCCUACGGGAGGGAGCAGUGGGGAAUUUUGGACAAUGGGCGCAAGCCUGAUCCAGCAAUGCCGCGUGCAGGAAGAAGGCCUUCGGGUUGUAAACUGCUUUUGUACGGAACGAAACGGCUCUGGUUAAUACCCGGGGCUAAUGACGGUACCGUAAGAAUAAGCACCGGCUAACUACGUG